GAUGAACGCUAGCGGGAGGCCUAACACAUGCAAGCCGAGCGGUAUUGUUUCUUCGGAAAUGAGAGAGCGGCGUACGGGUGCGUAACACGUGUGCAACCUGCCUUUAUCUGGGGGAUAGCCUUUCGAAAGGAAGAUUAAUACUCCAUAAUAUAUUGAACGGCAUCGUUUAAUAUUGAAAGCUCCGGCGGAUAGUGAUGGGCACGCGCAAGAUUAGCUAGUUGGUGAGGUAACGGCUCACCAAGGCGAUGAUCUUUAGGGGGCCUGAGAGGGUGAUCCCCCACAACGGUACUGAGACACGGACCAGACUCCUACGGGAGGCAGCAGUGAGGAAUAUUGGUCAAUGGGUGCAAGCCUGAACCAGCCAUCCCGCGUGAAGGACGACUGCCCUAGGGGUUGUAAACUUCUUUUGUAUAGGGAUAAACCUACCCUCGAGAGGGUAGCUGAAGGUACUAUACGAAUAAGCACCGGCUAACUCCGUG
RNAcentral lists this ribosomal RNA (479 nucleotides) under uncultured bacterium. Its description in RNAcentral is "partial 16S ribosomal RNA". It matches the Rfam family "Bacterial small subunit ribosomal RNA", at positions 28 to 507 of the family's 1533-position model. The record is from RNAcentral.